RNAcentral lists this ribosomal RNA (495 nucleotides) under uncultured bacterium. Its description in RNAcentral is "partial 16S ribosomal RNA". It matches the Rfam family "Bacterial small subunit ribosomal RNA", at positions 28 to 507 of the family's 1533-position model. The record is from RNAcentral.
GAUGAACGCUGGCGGCGUGCCUAAUACAUGCAAGUAGAACGCUGAAGGAGGAGCUUGCUCUUCUGGAUGAGUUGCGAACGGGUGAGUAACGCGUAGGUAACCUGCCUGGUAGCGGGGGAUAACUAUUGGAAACGAUAGCUAAUACCGCAUGACAACAGUUAUUGCAUGAUAACUGUUUAAAAGGGGCAACUGCUCCACUACCAGAUGGACCUGCGUUGUAUUAGCUAGUUGGUGAGGUAACGGCUCACCAAGGCGACGAUACAUAGCCGACCUGGGAGGGGGAUCGGCCACACUGGGACUUGGACCCGGCCCCGACUCCCUCGGGAGGCAGCCGUAGGGGAUCUUCGGCCAUGGGCGGAAGGCUGACCGGGCAACGCCGCGUGAGUGAAGAAGGUUUUCGGAUCGUAAAGCUCUGUUGUAAGAGAAGAACGAGUGUGAGAGUGGAAAGUUCACACUGUGACGGUAUCUUACCAGAAAGGGACGGCUAACUACGUG